UUAAAAGUUCUACAAGCAUGAAAUCAUGUUACUACCAGAAAGAUGGCAAAAUGUGUUGGGCCAAUAUAUACUGUAUAAUUGAAUAAAAUAUAUAUUAUAAAAAAUUGUCGUUCAUUUUCAUGAAAAAAAUGAAAUUACUUUCCAAACAACCCUAUAGAAUGGAAUGACUUGCUUAGAUGGAGUUCCAACUGUGGCAUACAAUGGAGUUUGCUGUUAUGAAAAUACAAGUAGUCCUCGAUUUAUGGCAGGCUUCAGUUUUGAAUCUCACUAUUGUAAAUUGGAAUGGUCAUAAAUCAUUAAUGACUUAUGGAGCAUUAUUUCUCAGCAUACAUUAUCUUAAUAAAUAUAAAGAAUACACAUCUACAAAAAUCAAACCACAAAAAAAGGACUCACUUUCCAUAUAUCAAACGAUUGGAUUGGAAUUCUAUUGACUAAUCAUGGAAUUUACUGAUUACAUCAUUGUCAUAAGUAUGAGUAUUCAUAAAUCAGGGUAUUUGUAAGUUGA
This 505-nucleotide long non-coding RNA is filed under the name Androctonus crassicauda. The record is from RNAcentral. Lineage: Eukaryota; Metazoa; Arthropoda; Arachnida; Scorpiones; Buthidae.